This 447-nucleotide long non-coding RNA is filed under the name Naja naja (Indian cobra). RNAcentral describes it as "lncRNA (ENSNNAG00000000251.1)". The record is from RNAcentral. Lineage: Eukaryota; Metazoa; Chordata; Lepidosauria; Squamata; Elapidae.
UCAAUUCCUUACCUGCUGGCUUAAAAUUGUAGGUGCUUUUAUGAUCGUAAGAUCAUAUAUUCACUGACUGGAGCUUUCGGUUUUGUUUUCUUUAGAAGGCAAGCCCAAAAGAGGUGUGCAGUACCCAUCAACUCUGACCUAUUCGUCUUCUGAAAGCACAGUCACUAAAGGAAAUUCAUUACGGAAAGGAUCUCAGACAUCUGUUGCUCCAUUACCAGCUACACAUGGUGCCACUCGUACAUUCAAACCCUUUACGACCACAACCGAAUUUGUCAGCACAACUCCAAAGACAGCCACCACUUCGACCACCAUUGCACCGAUGACCUUCACCAAAGUGACAACUGUUACAGUGGCAAAGCCUCUCAUUGCAGUGCACAAGGUCAGGGAUCUGGGCUCUAGCAAUGUCCAUCCAGUUUAUUCAGCGGUGGCAGCAGCAGCAGUAUCAAG